Molecule: ribosomal RNA, 474 nt
Filed under: Platymaia remifera
Lineage: Eukaryota; Metazoa; Arthropoda; Malacostraca; Decapoda; Inachidae
Description: partial 16S ribosomal RNA
Rfam family: Archaeal large subunit ribosomal RNA
Source: RNAcentral
CUCAUUGUUCAAGAGCCGCGGUACCCUGACCGUGCAAAGGUAGCAUAAUCAUUAGGAGCUUAAUUGGAACCUUGUAUGAAGGGCUGAACAAAAAAAGAGCUGUCUCUACUUCAAAAUUUGAAUUUGACUUUUAAGUGAAAAGGCUUAAAUUCCUUAGAGGGACGAUAAGACCCUAUAAAACUUUAUAACCAUGCAAAAUCCUAUUAAAAUCUAAAUAAAAAUUUAUUUUGCUAUUUUAUUCUGUUGGGGCGACAAAGGUAUAAAUUAUCUAGCUACCUAACCUUUAUACAGUUUAAGCGAUUUCAACUCACUGAUCCUUUCUAGAGAUUAAAAGACUAAGUUACUUUAGGGAUAACAGCGUUAUUUCUUUUCAGAGUCCUUAUCGAAAAAGAAGAUUACGACCUCGAUGUUGAAUUAAAUUAUCUACGCAAUGCAGCCGUUGCAAAAGAGGGUCUGUUCGACCUUUAAUUAUUU